Long non-coding RNA from Equus caballus (horse), 3017 nucleotides. RefSeq lists it as uncharacterized. The record is from RefSeq and is a predicted model, not a curated record. NCBI's taxonomy places the organism in Eukaryota, Metazoa, Chordata, Mammalia, Perissodactyla, Equidae.
UUCCUCAUUCCUCAAAGCCACUAGCUCGAAGCACGUAAUUGUGUGACGCUGGGGAAGAAGCCGUGGACGUCUGCAUCCUGUUUCUGUUCCCAUUCCUAUUUCUCUGGUGCACAAAGCAAAAUCACGCAAACUAUAAAGACCAUCGGGGAGAGGGGAAACAGGAUCCUAAAGGGAUGAGGCUGCCCCGGGACAGACCCUUCCCCAAAGGGGACAGGAGGCAGAGGAGGGGCUCCAGGAUCAGAGGCCACCCCCUCCGCUGCAUGGCACACACAUGGGGUCUGCUCAAAGUAAAAACAUGGAUUUGGGUCCUGUCGCCUUGGUCUCAUUAUUUUUAUUGCCUCUCAGUGGUUGCCCUGAACGCUGUGCUCAAGAUGGGAAGGAAAGCAGGCUGACACAACUCAUCUGCAGGACGGGGGAGGAGAGCACCGUGGCACACAGCCUGAGGGCCCGGCUUCUGCUUCCUGCGGCACUGUCCCAGCUGGCCCCGGGCCCCAUGGAAGCCAACUAGAUGGACAUGCUCUCAGCACUGCAGGUGUUUACAGUACCCACUUGCCCCUGCAGACCCCAAAUGCCAGGGGACUCAUCUGCUGAUCGUGGUCGGGGCUGGUGUUGACAUUUGCAUCAGUCAGGCCAGAGCCCACCUCAACGGGUCAUCCUUCUGUCGGCACUUCAGAGGCACUACAGGACAGCUGCAGAGCUGGGGCUCACCACAGAGCAGGGCUGCCACCAGUGUGGGUAGAAGCUCACGACCUGGAAUUUCCCUGCUGUUAUGGAUGGGCCUUGAUGGGCUUUUCUUUGACUUCCUCUUGUAGACCUUUGGACAGCGCUAUUACCGAUGCAAUACAUGCAAUAGCGUCCUGUUCCACUCCAGGAGGGGCUGCGUUUCAGCAAUGGGAGGGGUUUGCCCCAUACCCUGAGGGGCAUUUACUAGGAGCGAAGGCCAGCAGAGCAAGGGCAGCACACCCAGCCAAUCCAUCAGGCCCUGGGAGUCUGCUGUGUGGCAGAGACUGCGGAAGUCUCGCCCCCGCCCGCUUACCAGGACAUUUGGGAGAAUUCAGCAAGCCAUGUAUUCUAAGCCCUGGCAGAUUUAAAGGGGAGAGAGAGAAAGUCGGGGCUCUACAGGUCAAUUUUAUUACUGUUGUCAGGGACAAAUCUGUAGACAGUGUAUGAGAGCAGAGUGUUGAGACAAAGGACUUUCAACGUCAAGGUAAUGAACUUGCAAUGCAAUUUUUUAAAAAACUAUGAAUUGUCAUCAAUAUCCCAAUUGAUAUAUUUCACAUUUAAAAAAUCAAGGUUUCCAUCUUCUCUGGAAACAUACGAAGACGUAGCAACAUUCGGCACAUAUUUCUGCAUGUCAGCAAUCAGCUCGAGCUCAGACACAGCUCUUCCCUCUAAAUGGAGCCAUGUUGUCCAGUUUGCCAGAAUCCUACUGAGUCGCUUUUAAUCAUUUAUAUUACUUGCCUGGCUCUGCAGGCAUUUGAGUUGGGGGGCCUCACGCUUACUCGCUGGGCCCCAGAGGUCCAAUCAAGCAGGGCUUGUAGGGAGAAGCACCUCUCUCUUAUUUACCAACCUGGCCCAAGGGCGGACACGUGACUCUUUCUCCCUAUUGCCUCAUCAAACCUACCUCCCCAGUCUACACAGAUAAUACAACAUGGAACCAGUUCACUGAAGCAUUACUAAUGGUAUGGGAUAGCAACUCUCUGUGGACACAGAGAAUUCUGAACAUCUUGACUUCGAAAAUACAGCAUUCUAAUCUUCAGUGUAGGGUUUGUGAACUGCCUCCCGGAUCCUGGGGUUGGACUUAACUCCUAGCACCUAAAUCCUUUAAAGCAUUUCUCAGUUCCUCAAAUUUCAGACCCGAGAAGUGAGGCUCAGAAAAUCCUCAGGAUUCCUUCUCUUGUUUGCCAGAGCCCCACCUUCUGAAUUCCGGUUUCCCGUCUGAGGACCUGCCAUUUCACAAUAAUUCACAAUGGGAAAGCCCCUCCAUGUCAAAGAAGACCGAGCGUGCCCAGAUGGACUGCGACAUUAAUAUUCAGCUUACAACAAGAUAAUCACCUCCCAUGACAGACCCCAGCUGUUUAUGCAAGAGACACGUGGGCAUCAUGUUCGACCCUUGCUGUUCCAUUAUAAGCAUCAAUUCUGCCCACACUGAGUGGGGAUCUAAACUUUCAUGUGAAUGGAAGACUCACUCAGCUAUCAGCUUCUUAGGCCUGCAGAACUUUCUUCAACUAAUUCAGCUAAGCGUUGCAAAGCCUUGUGCCCUCCUCCUUUGCAAAGCCCUACUCCCCAGUGUAAGAUAAACUGGACUCGUCUGAGUAGAAGGAAAGAGAGGGGAUUUAUGGGGUGAAGAUUUGAUUUCAAGCUUCUCUACAAUUUAAAUGCUCUGCAGCUCCCUUUCCUCACCUGUCUGCUCCACCCUGCCCAUGUGAGGAUCAAAUGACAUAAGAGAGUGAAAAACUCUGUUAUGAAUUCUCGCAUAAAGUUAGUAAUUAACUAGUACCGAGACUGCACGGAAGUUUCUGUGAGAUGGCUUACAGCGAUUAUGUACACGCCAAGCGGGCAAAUACGUCCUCCUGGGACAUUCAUUCUGUACCUCUGCAGCACGGCUAUUGUCUGACUCAUGUCUGCAGGAUUAGAAGGCCGGUUUCUCAGGAUGCCGGGAAAAUCAGGCCGGUUGGCAAAUCAAUAAUAUCUGCUGGACACCCUCUCCCGGCCAUGCCUGCCAACCUCACAACUCUGCUUCCAGUCUCAGCUCCACCAAGAAAAGCUUCGGAACCACAGAAACGCGUUCUGGGGAAUGAGUUUGUUUAAAGCCUUCGCUGUUGGUUUUAGUCAAAAUUUUUAAAAUAUCUUAAAAGCACGAUUGAUAUAUAAACUAAAAUAGAACUGCAACUUCAGAGAAAAUAAAAAUAGACUUAUCGUAGACUAGCAAUUAAUACCAUGAUAAAUCUAUUUUCAUAUUUCUUUUCUCUUAUUUCAGAAAGUAAGAAUAAAAUGGCUUUGCUUAAAUAUAAAAA